RNAcentral lists this ribosomal RNA (2000 nucleotides) under human gut metagenome. RNAcentral describes it as "bacterial LSU rRNA". It matches the Rfam family "Bacterial large subunit ribosomal RNA", at positions 489 to 2474 of the family's 2925-position model. The record is from RNAcentral.
AGUGAACCAGUACCGUGAGGGAAAGGCGAAAAGAACCCCGGCGAGGGGAGUGAAAAAGAACCUGAAACCGUGUACGUACAAGCAGUGGGAGCCUCUUUAUGGGGUGACUGCGUACCUUUUGUAUAAUGGGUCAGCGACUUAUAUUCUGUAGCAAGGUUAACCGAAUAGGGGAGCCGAAGGGAAACCGAGUCUUAACUGGGCGUUAAGUUGCAGGGUAUAGACCCGAAACCCGGUGAUCUAGCCAUGGGCAGGUUGAAGGUUGGGUAACACUAACUGGAGGACCGAACCGACUAAUGUUGAAAAAUUAGCGGAUGACUUGUGGCUGGGGGUGAAAGGCCAAUCAAACCGGGAGAUAGCUGGUUCUCCCCGAAAGCUAUUUAGGUAGCGCCUCGUGAAUUCAUCUCCGGGGGUAGAGCACUGUUUCGGCAAGGGGGUCAUCCCGACUUACCAACCCGAUGCAAACUGCGAAUACCGGAGAAUGUUAUCACGGGAGACACACGGCGGGUGCUAACGUCCGUCGUGAAGAGGGAAACAACCCAGACCGCCAGCUAAGGUCCCAAAGUCAUGGUUAAGUGGGAAACGAUGUGGGAAGGCCCAGACAGCCAGGAUGUUGGCUUAGAAGCAGCCAUCAUUUAAAGAAAGCGUAAUAGCUCACUGGUCGAGUCGGCCUGCGCGGAAGAUGUAACGGGGCUAAACCAUGCACCGAAGCUGCGGCAGCGACACUAUGUGUUGUUGGGUAGGGGAGCGUUCUGUAAGCCUGUGAAGGUGGCCUGUGAGGGUUGCUGGAGGUAUCAGAAGUGCGAAUGCUGACAUAAGUAACGAUAAAGCGGGUGAAAAGCCCGCUCGCCGGAAGACCAAGGGUUCCUGUCCAACGUUAAUCGGGGCAGGGUGAGUCGACCCCUAAGGCGAGGCCGAAAGGCGUAGUCGAUGGGAAACAGGUUAAUAUUCCUGUACUUGGUGUUACUGCGAAGGGGGGACGGAGAAGGCUAUGUUGGCCGGGCGACGGUUGUCCCGGUUUAAGCGUGUAGGCUGGUUUUCCAGGCAAAUCCGGAAAACCAAGGCUGAGGCGUGAUGACGAGGCACUACGGUGCUGAAGCGACAAAUGCCCUGCUUCCAGGAAAAGCCUCUAAGCAUCAGGUAACAUCAAAUCGUACCCCAAACCGACACAGGUGGUCAGGUAGAGAAUACCAAGGCGCUUGAGAGAACUCGGGUGAAGGAACUAGGCAAAAUGGUGCCGUAACUUCGGGAGAAGGCACGCUGAUAUGUAGGUGAAGCGACUUGCUCGUGGAGCUGAAAUCAGUCGAAGAUACCAGCUGGCUGCAACUGUUUAUUAAAAACACAGCACUGUGCAAACACGAAAGUGGACGUAUACGGUGUGACGCCUGCCCGGUGCCGGAAGGUUAAUUGAUGGGGUUAGCGGUAACGCGAAGCUCUUGAUCGAAGCCCCGGUAAACGGCGGCCGUAACUAUAACGGUCCUAAGGUAGCGAAAUUCCUUGUCGGGUAAGUUCCGACCUGCACGAAUGGCGUAAUGAUGGCCAGGCUGUCUCCACCCGAGACUCAGUGAAAUUGAACUCGCUGUGAAGAUGCAGUGUACCCGCGGCAAGACGGAAAGACCCCGUGAACCUUUACUAUAGCUUGACACUGAACAUUGAGCCUUGAUGUGUAGGAUAGGUGGGAGGCUUUGAAGUGUGGACGCCAGUCUGCAUGGAGCCGACCUUGAAAUACCACCCUUUAAUGUUUGAUGUUCUAACGUUGGCCCGUAAUCCGGGUUGCGGACAGUGUCUGGUGGGUAGUUUGACUGGGGCGGUCUCCUCCUAAAGAGUAACGGAGGAGCACGAAGGUUGGCUAAUCCUGGUCGGACAUCAGGAGGUUAGUGCAAUGGCAUAAGCCAGCUUGACUGCGAGCGUGACGGCGCGAGCAGGUGCGAAAGCAGGUCAUAGUGAUCCGGUGGUUCUGAAUGGAAGGGCCAUCGCUCAACGGAUAAAAGGUACUCCGGGGA